UACAGAGGGUGCAAGCGUUAAUCGGAAUUACUGGGCGUAAAGCGUGCGUAGGUGGUUUACUAAGUCAGGUGUGAAAUCCCCGGGCUCAACCUGGGAACUGCGCUUGAUACUGGUAAACUAGAGUUUAGUAGAGGGAAGUGGAAUUCCACGUGUAGCGGUUAAAUGCGUAGAUAUGUGGAGGAACACCAGUGGCGAAGGCGACUCUCUGGACAGUUACUGACACUGAGGCACGAAUGCCAGGGGAGCAAACGGG
Molecule: ribosomal RNA, 253 nt
Filed under: uncultured bacterium
Lineage: Bacteria
Description: partial 16S ribosomal RNA
Rfam family: Bacterial small subunit ribosomal RNA
Source: RNAcentral